Molecule: ribosomal RNA, 252 nt
Filed under: uncultured bacterium
Lineage: Bacteria
Description: partial 16S ribosomal RNA
Rfam family: Bacterial small subunit ribosomal RNA
Source: RNAcentral
CGUAGGGGCAAGCGUUGUCCGGAAUCAUUGGGCGUAAAGAGCGUGUAGGCGGCCCGAUAAGUCCGCUGUGAAAGUCCAGGGCUCAACCCUGGAAUGCCGGUGGAUACUGUCGGGCUCGAAUCCGGAAGAGGUGAGUGGAAUUCCUGGUGUAGCGGUGAAAUGCGCAGAUAUCAGGAGGAACACCAAUGGCGAAGGCAGCUCACUGGGACGGUAUUGACGCUGAGACGCGAAAGCGUGGGAGCAAACAGGAUU